Molecule: ribosomal RNA, 130 nt
Filed under: uncultured bacterium
Lineage: Bacteria
Description: partial 16S ribosomal RNA
Rfam family: Bacterial small subunit ribosomal RNA
Source: RNAcentral
CCGCGUGCAGGAAGACGGCCCUAUGGGUUGUAAACUGCUUUUAUAUAGGAAGAAACCUUUUCACGUGUGAGAAGCUGACGGUACUAUAAGAAUAAGGACCGGCUAACUCCGUGCCAGCAGCCGCGGUAAU